RNAcentral lists this ribosomal RNA (253 nucleotides) under uncultured bacterium. RNAcentral's name for it is "partial 16S ribosomal RNA". It matches the Rfam family "Bacterial small subunit ribosomal RNA", at positions 524 to 776 of the family's 1533-position model. The record is from RNAcentral.
UACGAAGGGGGCUAGCGUUGUUCGGAAUUACUGGGCGUAAAGCGCGUGUAGGCGGGUGGCUAAGUCAGGGGUGAAAUGCCGAGGCUCAACCUUGGAACUGCCUUUGAUACUGGCGAUCUGGAGUCCGGGAGAGGUGAGUGGAACUGCGAGUGUAGAGGUGAAAGUCGUAGAUAUUCGCAAGAACACCAGUGGCGAAGGCGGCUCACUGGCCCGGAACUGACGCUGAGACGCGAAAGCGUGGGGAGCAAACAGG